UGGGAGAUGCCCGCAUGAGAUUAGGUAGUUGGUGGGGUAACGGCCUACCAAGCCUGCGAUCUGUAGCUGGUCUGAGAGGACGAUCAGCCACACUGGGACUGAGACACGGCCCAGACUCCUACGGGAGGCAGCAGUGGGGAAUCUUGCGCAAUGGGCGAAAGCCUGACGCAGCCAUGCCGCGUGAAUGAUGAAGGUCUUAGGAUUGUAAAGUUCUUUCGCUCGUGACGAUGAUGACGGUAACGAGAGAAGAAGCCCCGGCUAACUUCGUGCCAGCAGCCGCGGUAAUACGAAGGGGGCUAGCGUUGUUCGGAAUUACUGGGCGUAAAGCGCGCGUAGGCGGCUUUGCAAGCCAGAGGUGAAAUGCCUGAGCUCAACUUAGGAAUUGCCUUUGGGACUGCGAGGCUUCGAGGACUGGAGAGGUGAGUGGAAUUCCCAGUGUAGAGGUGGAAUUCGUAGAUAUUGGGAAGAACACCGGUGGCGAAGGCGGCUCACUGGCCAGUUUCUGACGCUGUAGCGCGAAAGCGUGGGGAUCAAACAGGAUUAGAUACCCUGGUAGUCCACGCUGUAAACGAUGAGUGCUAGGCGUCGGCACGCUUGCGUGUCGGUGCCGCAGCUAACGCGUGAAGCACUCCGCCUGGGGAGUACGGUCGCAAGAUUAAAACUCAAGGGAAUUGACGGGGGCCCGCACAAGCGGUGGAGCAUGUGGUUUAAUUCGACGCAACGCGCAGAACCUUACCAGCCCUUGACAUGCCGUGCUA
Molecule: ribosomal RNA, 758 nt
Filed under: uncultured bacterium
Lineage: Bacteria
Description: bacterial SSU rRNA
Rfam family: Bacterial small subunit ribosomal RNA
Source: RNAcentral